Molecule: non-coding RNA, 85 nt
Organism: Acanthosepion pharaonis
Lineage: Eukaryota; Metazoa; Mollusca; Cephalopoda; Sepiida; Sepiidae
Source: the annotation of a GenBank genome assembly
CGCAUUCCGUACGAUCGCCGAAGUUAAGCAACGUUGAGCUUGGUCAGUAACUAGAUGGGCGACCGCUUGUGAGUACCAAGUGUUA